GAGCCCUUUCCUCCCAGAAGGUGCUGCAGACCUUCCAGAGGCAUCCUCCUGCACAACUGAGAUUGGUUUAAUACAGAGCUGACUGGCCAUUUGCUAGGCAGGAAGAGGUUCAGCAGGACUUCUGGGGACAGAGAGCUCUGGGAAGGAGAAAGGAGGAGUUGCCAGCGGGACGCAGAGGGAGCAAGACGUGCAGGAGAGAGGAGACGAAUCUAGGCACAGGAGAGACACCAGAAGACAGCAGAGGAAACAGGAGGUGCAAAUGGAAGAGAGCUGUCUGAACAGGACGCAGCCACGAAUGUGCUCCCUCAGCAUGAAAGGUCGACCCCUCCUCAAGCCACCUGGCAAACUAUUUCUCUGGCUCUGCAGUUUGCCAUCCCAAGUAGGAGGCUGUUCCUGGGCUGUGCCAGCAGAGAGGUGUUCCUCCCUGUCUCCUGAGAUCUCAGUGAUGGCAUCACUGUAUACGCUGAACCUCUGCUCAUCCCCUGUGAGCUCAGGAGCCUGAGACCAUCUAUUCUCUGUGCCCAGCACACUGCCUGGGACAAGGAAGACAAGGAGAAAAUUAAACAUCUCGUUUCAGUGACUUCUAACGUUGACUCUGGUUUCCCAGAACAUGCCUCUCCGCUCCCAGCCUCUGCCUCUCACAAGUGCCCAACUUCUAACUACACUCAAGUGUGAGCUGCUUUAAACACUUUUUAGUCAUUGAACAAACAUGAGUCAUGUGCUUCUGAUUAUAGAAUCUGAGCACUGACAGCUUUUACCUAAACACACACACACACACACACACACACACACACACACACACACACACACACUCACACCUGUGGGCUUGGGGAAAGUUACAUCUGUACUAAUCAGGGUUCUCUAAAGGAAAAGAACCAACAAAAUCAAUCCGUAUUAAAAGGGGAUUUAUUAGGUUGAUUUAUACAGUCCAACAGUGGCUGUCUUCACACUGGAGAGGUCUAGAACCCCAGAGGCUUCUC
This is a long non-coding RNA of Peromyscus eremicus (cactus mouse), 980 nucleotides long. RefSeq lists it as uncharacterized. NCBI's taxonomy places the organism in Eukaryota, Metazoa, Chordata, Mammalia, Rodentia, Cricetidae. The record is from RefSeq and is a predicted model, not a curated record. The transcript is spliced from 3 exons.